UGCAAGUCGAGGGGCAGCAGGUUUGUAGCAAUACAGAUGCUGGCGACCGGCAAACGGGUGCGGAACACGUACACAACCUUCCUUCGAGCGGGGAAUAGCCCAGAGAAAUUUGGAUUAAUACCCCAUAGUAUAUUGAUAAGGCAUCUUAUUAAUAUUAAAGAUUUAUCACUUGAAGAUGGGUGUGCGGCUGAUUAGAUAGUUGGUGAGGUAACGGCUCACCAAGUCUGCGAUCAGUAACUGGUGUGAGAGCACGACCAGUCACACGGGCACUGAGACACGGGCCCGACUCCUACGGGAGGCAGCAGUAAGGAAUAUUGGUCAAUGGACGCAAGUCUGAACCAGCCAUGCCGCGUGGAGGAUGAAGGCCCUCUGGGUUGUAAACUUCUUUUAUAUGGGACGAAAAAGGGUCUUUCCAGAUCAACUGACGGUACCAUGUGAAUAAGCACCGGCUAACUCCGUGCCAGCAGCCGCGGUAAUACGGAGGGUGCAAGCGUUAUCCGGAUUCACUGGGUUUAAAGGGUGCGUAGGUGGGUUGGUAAGUCAGUGGUGAAAUCUCCGAGCUUAACUUGGAAACUGCCAUUGAUACUAUCAGUCUUGAAUAUUGUGGAGGUUAGCGGAAUAUGUCAUGUAGCGGUGAAAUGCUUAGAGAUGACAUAGAACACCAAUUGCGAAGGCAGCUGGCUACACAUAUAUNGACACUGAGGCACGAAAGCGUGGGGAUCAAACAGGAUUAGAUACCCUGGUAGUCCACGCCCUAAACUAUGGAUACUCGACAUACGCGAUACACAGUGUGUGUCUGA
Molecule: ribosomal RNA, 800 nt
Filed under: uncultured Chitinophaga sp.
Lineage: Bacteria; Pseudomonadati; Bacteroidota; Chitinophagia; Chitinophagales; Chitinophagaceae
Description: bacterial SSU rRNA
Rfam family: Bacterial small subunit ribosomal RNA
Source: RNAcentral